GCUAAAAAUCUAGCUCUACCUCUCCGCAUGCGUCCCCUCCUCCAUCCCUCAUAACUAAAACAUUUUUACAGUUUAGUAAAGGAGAUUGAAAAACUCAUUGAAGCAAUAUAACUUGUACCGCAAGGGAAAGAUGAAAUAUUAAUGAAAAUCCUUAAAGCAAAAAAAAGUAGAGAUUUCCCCUCGUACCUUUUGCAUCAUGGUUCAACUAGUCUAAUCAAGCAAAAAGCAUUACAGUUUGACCCCCCGAAACUAGACGAGCUACUUCAGGGCAGCUUUAUGAGCCAACCCGUCUCUGUGGUAAAAGAGUGGGAAGACCUUCAAGUAGAGGUGAUAUACCUAACGAGUCUAGUGAUAGCUGGUUACUCGAGAAAAGGAUUUAAGUCCACCCUAGAGUCCUCCUGAUAAACUAAAAUCCCUGACUUUAGAGCAAUUCAAAUAAGGUACAGCCUAUUUGAAAUAGGAUACAACCUCGCCAGACGGGUAAAAUUUUUGCCGACCCACCAAGUAGGCCUAAAAGCAGCCACCUUAUUAAAAGCGUCACAGCUUAGUCUUCUCAAUCCUCUAAUCCCCUGCUACAAUUUUAACCCUCCUACACUACCGAGUAAUCCUAUACUAUUAUAGAAUAUUUUAUGUUGAAACUAGUAAUAAGAAGAAAGACCUUCUCUUAAAUGCAAAUAUAAAUCAGAAAGGACAAACCACUGAUAAUUAACGCCUAUGACCUCCAUUAAGCAACCCCCCCCCAAGAAAACCCUAAUAACCACUCACGUUAACCUAACACAAGAGCAUUUCAAGAAAGAUUAAAAGGGGAAGAAGGAACUCGGCAAAUAUUGACCCCGCCUGUUUACCAAAAACAUCGCCUCUUGAAUAAAAAUAAGAGGUCCAGCCUGCCCAGUGACAAAUGUUUAACGGCCGCGGUAUCCUAACCGUGCAAAG
RNAcentral lists this ribosomal RNA (933 nucleotides) under Scinax sp. KAV26. Its description in RNAcentral is "partial 16S large subunit ribosomal RNA". The stretch from base 165 to 933 matches the Rfam family "Bacterial large subunit ribosomal RNA", at positions 568 to 1955 of the family's 2925-position model. Lineage: Eukaryota; Metazoa; Chordata; Amphibia; Anura; Hylidae. The record is from RNAcentral.